Molecule: ribosomal RNA, 705 nt
Filed under: uncultured Bacteroidota bacterium
Lineage: Bacteria; Pseudomonadati; Bacteroidota
Description: bacterial SSU rRNA
Rfam family: Bacterial small subunit ribosomal RNA
Source: RNAcentral
GAGAUGGCGACCGGCGCACGGGUGCGUAACGCGUAUGCAACCUACCUAUCACAUGGGGAUAGCCUCUAGAAAUGGAGAUUAAUACCCAAUGGCAUCUACAUAUUGCAUGAUAUUAAGAUUAAAGAUUUAUCGGUGAUAGAUGGGCAUGCGUGACAUUAGCUAGUUGGUAAGGUAACGGCUUACCAAGGCGACGAUGUCUAGGGGAUCUGAGAGGACUACCCCCCACACUGGUACUGAGACACGGACCAGACUCCUACGGGAGGCAGCAGUGAGGAAUAUUGGUCAAUGGAGGCAACUCUGAACCAGCCAUGCCGCGUGCAGGAUGACUGCCCUAUGGGUUGUAAACUGCUUUUAUAUAGGAAGAAAAGUAUCUACGUGUAGAUAUCUGACGGUACUAUAAGAAUAAGGACCGGCUAACUCCGUGCCAGCAGCCGCGGUAAUACGGAGGGUCCAAGCGUUAUCCGGAUUUAUUGGGUUUAAAGGGUCCGUAGGCGGGCUUAUAAGUCAGAGGUGAAAUCCCAUCGCUCAACGAUGGAACUGCCUUUGAUACUGUAGGUCUUGAAUGUAUUUGAAGUAGGCGGAAUAUGUAGUGUAGCGGUGAAAUGCAUAGAUAUUACAUAGAACACCAAUUGCGAAGGCAGCUUACUAAGAUAUAAUUGACGCUGAUGGACGAAAGCGUGGGUAGCGAACGGGAUUAGAUACCCC